CCUACGGGAGGCAGCAGUGAGGAAUAUUGGUCAAUGGCCGGAAGGCUGAACCAGCCAUGCCGCGUGAAGGUCAGUGCCCUAUGGGCGUUAAACUUCUUUUGUGCGGGAGCAAUAAUGGUCACGUGUGGCCAGACGAGAGUACCGUACGAAUAAGCAUCGGCUAACUCCGUGCCAGCAGCCGCGGUAAUACGGGGGAUGCAAGCGUUAUCCGGAUUUAUUGGGUGUAAAGGGUGCGUAGGCUGUGAGGUAAGUCAGCGGUGAAAUGCCCCCGCUCAACGGGGUGAAGUGCCAUUGAUACUGGCUGGCUGGAAUGCGGAUGCAGUGGGAGGAAUGUGUGGUGUAGCGGUGAAAUGCAUAGAUAUCACACAGAACACCGAUUGCGAAGGCAUCUCACGAAUCCGCGAUUGACGCUGAUGCACGAAAGCGUGGGUAUCAAACAGGAUUAGAUACCCGUGUAGUC
Molecule: ribosomal RNA, 460 nt
Filed under: uncultured bacterium
Lineage: Bacteria
Description: partial 16S ribosomal RNA
Rfam family: Bacterial small subunit ribosomal RNA
Source: RNAcentral